GCCCCCUCAGUGUCACAUUUGAAGUGGUCUGCUUUGAGGCUUCUCCUUGAGGGUAGUAACACCCCCUUUAGUAUGCCAGUAAAAGCCCACUGUUAGUUCCUUUGUUCUAAAGCUUCUAAUACUUGAAUUUCCAAAACUGCUCCCUCCUUUGGAGCCAGACUCUGAUUAAGGGCAGCCAAGCUUGUGGUCUAGAAUCCUAGCCAGAAAAAGAUAUAAUUUCUACAUUAUGGAGAAUUCUUCAUGAUAUGGAUUCCAAAGGCCUGAUUUGAUUUACUAAAGAAAUUUUCAAAAUUAUAUCUCUUCUUAAAAAGCUGGCUUUCUUGAUAUGUUCUCAAAUAAAAAUGCUGAAGAGAAUCAUGAGACCCAUGACAACUCAGACUCUUGACCCACCAUGCUGCAUAAUGGAGAGCG
Homo sapiens (human) is the source of this 411-nucleotide long non-coding RNA. RefSeq lists it as uncharacterized. The transcript is spliced from 3 exons. The record is from RefSeq and is a predicted model, not a curated record. NCBI's taxonomy places the organism in Eukaryota, Metazoa, Chordata, Mammalia, Primates, Hominidae.